CCUCCGCUCCCACCCGACUCGCUCGCGUCUCCGCCGUCUCCCCGGUGUCCCCUCCCACCCCGCUCCGCCCCCCCCCCCCCGCCCCCCAGCCAGCCGCGUCCUCCCGGGCUCGGUGAGGAACUGUUCCCGGAGGAGCCGCGGGACGCCGAAAGCAGCCAAUGGGAAGAGGCGAGACGCCGAGAUUGGCACCGUGGAUGGGAAGCUAUACUUCCAGCAUUGGAGCCAGGUGGGAAAGCAAAGCAAAAGCAAAGCAAAACAGCAACCAAAACCCACAAAGUGGUUGGUUAACUGUUGGUAAAACAGCUGAGCUGCAAAGAAGGAGGACCUGCAGACCAGAGCUGACAUGAUGUGAGUUUGGUCAGUUCACGGAUGUGAAGAUUGAUCAUUUCACGUUCGUCUGUGUGCGAGAAGUGCUCCUUCUGCUCCUGAAGUAUCUGGUUGGGAUUCCAUUUCUUUGUUGGAGAACCAAACCCAUCCACAAGGUAAGGAAUCCUGGGGAGCCUUCAACCCAGACUCUUAGGGUUUCCAUUGCUAAUCUCAAUUUCCCAGAGGGUUUGGUACGGCCAAUGACACAACUCGAUUGGGAAGUGUAAAGAAAGAAUGGACGAUCACUCCUGUAGGAAAGAGAUGUGGCACACCUAAGGGUUAAGGAGGGACGAAGGUUUCUAUUUUAAACUCACAGGUUCUCUGAAGCAUUGGCAAGUCUUGGGUAAUAUACCACUCAUGUUGCUGUGGAACAUGUACAAGACUUUAGGGACUUUUUCUGGUUCACUGAAAGCAAAAUCAUUCAAGAGGACAGGGG
This 802-nucleotide long non-coding RNA is filed under the name Canis lupus familiaris (dog). Its description in RNAcentral is "lncRNA (ENSCAFG00845006899.1)". Lineage: Eukaryota; Metazoa; Chordata; Mammalia; Carnivora; Canidae. The record is from RNAcentral.